This 253-nucleotide ribosomal RNA is filed under the name uncultured bacterium. Its description in RNAcentral is "partial 16S ribosomal RNA". It matches the Rfam family "Bacterial small subunit ribosomal RNA", at positions 524 to 776 of the family's 1533-position model. The record is from RNAcentral.
UACGUAGGGUGCAAGCGUUGUCCGGAAUUAUUGGGCGUAAAGAGCUCGUAGGCGGUUUGUCGCGUCUGCUGUGAAAACCCGAGGCUCAACCUCGGGCCUGCAGUGGGUACGGGCAGACUAGAGUGCGGUAGGGGAGAUUGGAAUUCCUGGUGUAGCGGUGGAAUGCGCAGAUAUCAGGAAGAACACCUAUGGCGAAGGCAGCUCUCUGGGACGGUACUGACGCUGAGACGCGAAAGCGUGGGGAGCGAACAGG